RNAcentral lists this ribosomal RNA (458 nucleotides) under uncultured bacterium. RNAcentral's name for it is "partial 16S ribosomal RNA". It matches the Rfam family "Bacterial small subunit ribosomal RNA", at positions 338 to 795 of the family's 1533-position model. The record is from RNAcentral.
CCUACGGGAGGCAGCAGUGAGGAAUAUUGGUCAAUGGGCGAGAGCCUGAACCAGCCAAGUCGCGUGAGGGAGUACUGCCCUAUGGGUUGUAAACCUCUUUUGUCGGGGAGCAAAAGCCGGACGUGUCCGGCUGUGAGAGUACCCGAAGAAAAAGCAUCGGCUAACUCCGUGCCAGCAGCCGCGGUAAUACGGAGGAUGCGAGCGGUAUCCGGAUUUAUUGGGUUUAAAGGGUGCGCAGGCGGAUUUUUAAGUCAGCGGUAAAAUCGUGGGGCUCAACCCCAUCCAGCCGUUGAAACUGGGGAUCUAGAGUGUGCGAGAGGUAUGCGGAAUGCGUGGUGUAGCGGUGAAAUGCAUAGAUAUCACGCAGAACCCCGAUUGCGAAGGCAGCAUACCGGUGCACAACUGACGCUCAGGCACGAAAGCGUGGGUAUCGAACAGGAUUAGAUACCCCUGUAGUC